Molecule: ribosomal RNA, 468 nt
Filed under: uncultured bacterium
Lineage: Bacteria
Description: partial 16S ribosomal RNA
Rfam family: Bacterial small subunit ribosomal RNA
Source: RNAcentral
GACGAACGCUGGCGGCGUGCUUAACACAUGCAAGUCGAACGGAAAGGCCCUGCUUUUGUGGGGUGCUCGAGUGGCGAACGGGUGAGUAACACGUGAGUAACCUGCCCUUGACUUUGGGAUAACUUCAGGGAACUGGGGCUAAUACCGGAUAGGAGCUCCUGCUGCAUGGUGGGGGUUGGAAAGUUUCGGCGGUUGGGGAUGGACUCGCGGCUUAUCAGCUUGUUGGUGGGGUAGUGGCUUACCGAGGCUUUGACGGGUAGCCGGCCUGAGAGGGUGACCGGCCACAUUGGGACUGAGAUACGGCCCAGACUCCUACGGGAGGCAGCAGUGGGGAAUAUUGCACAAUGGGCGGAAGCCUGAUGCAGCAACGCCGCGUGCGGGAUGACGGCCUUCGGGUUGUAAACCGCUUUCGCCUGUGACGAAGCGUGAGUGACGGUAAUGGGUAAAGAAGCACCGGCUAACUACGUG